Molecule: long non-coding RNA, 514 nt
Filed under: Anas platyrhynchos platyrhynchos (common mallard)
Lineage: Eukaryota; Metazoa; Chordata; Aves; Anseriformes; Anatidae
Description: lncRNA (ENSAPLG00000025348.1)
Source: RNAcentral
GACAGAGUCGCACACUGCUAAGCCAGCAUGGUCUGUGAUUUUAUCAGCUGUGGAUUGAUUCCUGGCUACCUGAUGUGCAGAAUCUCAGUUCUGCAGUAUGCUUGUGUUAGAAGAUAUGGGCAGCUUUAGGAUUUCAUUGUUGAGAAUGUUUACUGUUCUGGAUGAAAAAGUCUUAAAGGACCUGACUCAAAGUUUGUCCUCCCACUGCUAUAAAGCUGAAAGAGAUAAUUCCCAAAUAAUAAAACCGUACACUCAGAUUUCAAUAGAGCACGCAUGCUUUUUCCAUCUGGUCCUUGUACCAACUAACAGGGGUGAAAAGCCAUCAUCAGCAAAUGAUGUGAAACACAUCAUUUAGUCACACAUAAUUUCUUUUCUGUUUAAUACCAGAGGACAUAUGAUUUUGUAAAUAUUUCUAUGGGGUCUUAGAGCCACCUAUAUAAAAAUAGAAUCAUAUUCAAUAAUGGCAGAUCACCAACACAAAAGCGUGUUCAUGUUAAAAUGGAAUGUAGCAACA